Molecule: unclassified non-coding RNA, 306 nt
Filed under: Cercozoa sp.
Lineage: Eukaryota; Cercozoa
Description: partial contains small subunit ribosomal RNA, internal transcribed spacer 1, and 5.8S ribosomal RNA
Rfam family: Eukaryotic small subunit ribosomal RNA (bases 1-47)
Source: RNAcentral
AAAGUCGUAACAAGGUUUCCGUAGGUGAACCUGCGGAAGGAUCAUUAUCACGUAUCCACGUAUAAACCAUCGCGAACUGUUUUUUUUUCACCUUUGCGGGGAUAGGAGGAGCGGCUAGUUUUUUUCUCUCUCUCCGGAGAGUGGCUUGCUGUCGAUUCCUGUUUACUCGCAAAGCGUAUAACACCAUAUUAACCACUAUAACAAAUCUUUAUAACUUUAUGAACUAAACUUUAUUUUAUACUCUUUCGGAGAUAAAAUUCAUUACGAAACAAAGAACAACUCUUAGCAACGGAUAUCUUGGUUCUC